This is a long non-coding RNA of Solea solea (common sole), 1183 nucleotides long. RefSeq lists it as uncharacterized. The transcript has 3 exons. Lineage: Eukaryota; Metazoa; Chordata; Actinopteri; Pleuronectiformes; Soleidae. The record is from RefSeq and is a predicted model, not a curated record.
AUUUAUGUGAACAUGUCUGUCUCGUGUAAAUUAACACGUUCCAAUCAAACGACUAUGUGGAGUAAAUUUCCUGUCUGGUGCUUCGCUUUGUGUAGCUACAUCUCUUCUUCUGAGACACUUCAACAAACAGACGGCGGCGACGGCGACUGCAAACCAUGGAUGUAUUAGAAGAACUGGAUGAAGAAUCGCGACCCCCUCGCUGCCUUGAAGACAAUGUUUUUCAGUGGCCACUGGAGAAUUUCAUUUGCAGAGCACAGGGGGCCAAUAUCUAGGGUAAUUCCCAGGGUUUAGUGCCACUGAUCUCUUCCCAGCUCACCUUGGGGGGAGAAAAAUGAAAGCGGCGAUAAGGCCUUACCCUGCCCAGGACCAUGUUCACCCUGUGCUGUCCACCGACUCACUGCUGUCAGCUACUGGAAUCUCACGCAGACGACACCUGGCCAGUGUCACUUUCACUGUCUGAAGGCAUCUCAACACAAACUAAAAGGUGAUAUGAGAAAAAGAAGCAAUAAUUCAUGUUUUUUUGUUGUUUUCUGAAUGUGCAGAUUGAAAUGCAUGUAGUUUCAUAUUUUUUUUUUAUUGCUCGACAGUCGAGCCAGGGUUUUAAAUCAUCAUAAUGUAAUCUUAAUGAGGAACAUUCUAUCGUUUGGUUGCUUUUUAUCAUCACUUUAAGUUAAACUGAAUUUUCCUCGUUGUUAGAAUCCAAAAAAGUGUUGCAAUACUUUUAAAAUUCUCAUCAAGAUUAGUUUAAUAAGAUUAAAUAUGACUUAAUUUUUUUCUAGAUUUAUAGGCCAAUAACAUUGUGUGAAAAGAGGUUUUAAUGUUUAACUCUAGUAGUUUUAUUUCAAAGGACCCUGAUCAUGGUGAACUUCCUUCCUUCCAGUAUGACUUCCCAUCUUCCCGAGUAGCAAAUUACUUUUCUGCCAUUUAAUAAAAUCCGUGUUCAUGACCAGUUUUUAGUUCCCGGAUAAAUGUCAUUCCCCGUCAAUGUGACACCUGCAAAAAAAGAAUUUAAUUUCAAAUUUUGUCCCCGAAACUGACAGAGCUCCAUUUAGACGAGUGAGAGACAUAUUAAGAAAUGAAAUGUCAAAAGAUUGUGACUCAAUAAUAGUCGGCGGGAGGGAUGUGUGAUUCUCAUGUUUGUUAAAAAAAAUGGAAAAUUGCUUAAAGAAGAAAUAAUAAAAAA